This 487-nucleotide ribosomal RNA is filed under the name uncultured Roseateles sp. RNAcentral describes it as "bacterial SSU rRNA". It matches the Rfam family "Bacterial small subunit ribosomal RNA", at positions 197 to 675 of the family's 1533-position model. The record is from RNAcentral. Lineage: Bacteria; Pseudomonadati; Pseudomonadota; Betaproteobacteria; Burkholderiales; Sphaerotilaceae.
CGGGGGAUCGCAAGACCUCGCGCGAUUGGAGCGGCCGAUAUCAGAUUAGGUAGUUGGUGAGGUAAAGGCUCACCAAGCCGACGAUCUGUAGCUGGUCUGAGAGGACGACCAGCCACACUGGGACUGAGACACGGCCCAGACUCCUACGGGAGGCAGCAGUGGGGAAUUUUGGACAAUGGGCGCAAGCCUGAUCCAGCCAUGCCGCGUGCGGGAAGAAGGCCUUCGGGUUGUAAACCGCUUUUGUCAGGGAAGAAAAGGUUCUGGCUAAUACCUGGGACUCAUGACGGUACCUGAAGAAUAAGCACCGGCUAACUACGUGCCAGCAGCCGCGGUAAUACGUAGGGUGCAAGCGUUAAUCGGAAUUACUGGGCGUAAAGCGUGCGCAGGCGGUUAUGCAAGACAGAGGUGAAAUCCCCGGGCUCAACCUGGGAACUGCCUUUGUGACUGCAUGGCUAGAGUACGGUAGAGGGGGAUGGAAUUCCGCGUG